Zea mays is the source of this 1211-nucleotide long non-coding RNA. RefSeq lists it as uncharacterized. The record is from RefSeq and is a predicted model, not a curated record. The transcript is spliced from 3 exons. NCBI's taxonomy places the organism in Eukaryota, Viridiplantae, Streptophyta, Magnoliopsida, Poales, Poaceae.
CGUUCUCUGCAUGCCAACAUCUAGCUGAUGAAGCACCCUCAUUACCAAGUGAGCAAAAAGAGCUCAGGCUUUACAAGCAACAUGUUGAUAGUCUGCACCAAUUGGCAUGUUGUACUGUCUCCCACAACCGGUACUCUGAGCAUGGCUGCAAUCAUGAACAAGAGCACUCAUCUGGACAUACUGCCUUUGCCUAGGGAUAAUUCAGCUGAUAGUGGCCAAGAAGAUGGAGGCUCUCGGGAGUUUGAAUUCAAGCCUCAUCUCAAUUCUCAAUCGUCGUAAUUAUAUGACCCAAGACACCGGGCGGUGGGCGGCAACGGCGACGACUGAGAAGGCGUUGUCGUACAGGUAAUCAGGUUAGUACUAGGUUCUAGGGCUGGAAAAAUAGCUCGCGGCUCGCGAGCCAACUCGAGCUCGUCUCGACUCGGCUCUGCUCGUAGUGGGCUCGCGAACCAAUGAAUCAGAUACGGUUCAAGAAAGAGACAGAGCCACCUGAAACAGGGAACUGUGGUGAGCAAUCCCGCAUGGGCUGGCGGGCUGUUUAACUUGGAUCCAGAUGAGGAAGACAUUUCUGCUGCUAGAAGCAGGUGGUGCUUUGGAUCAGCAACCACCAACAGAUGAGACACAGUGGUUGUUCUAUUGGGCAUGCGUGCUUGCACAAGAGGUGCUCCCGGGGAAUCUAUAUGAUGAGAAGAACGGCAAAGUUGUGGACAGUGACGAUGUGAAGAGUGGGCCGGGAUCAACGGCUACGGCUGAAUUGCCGGUCUCUAAUGGGAAUCGAUCCAGAGGCCAUAGCAAAUGUCAAAAGCUAACCCACAACUGAAGCAUGAUUCGAGUCAUGUUAUUUAGCCUUUUUAUAUUAAAAGGAAAAAUGGAAUGCAUAGGCAAUAACGUCAGAGAUAUUUAAACUGACAUUCUAGAGGUACACAGGCCAACAGGCAAAAAAAACUACACUUUAUUACACACCUAUCCAUUUCAACAGCAGGCUCGAGCCUCUUACAGAGCAAUUAGGCAAGUCGGCUGAAUGUAAUCAGUAACUUCAGAAGCGAUUGGUUGGUCACAGUUCAAAAGGAGAUUCUUUUAUUCUACCCUAUUCCUGUAGUGGCCGGCCUUUGGCUGUUUCCGGUGCUCCUUCUCGAGUGUGAAAUGCCUGACCUCAUGUGAGCUACCGCAAAGUGUAUGCUUUAAUUUUGCACGGUGGAGAACAAAAGUUG